CCCUUGUCUUUAGUUGCCAUCAUUAAGUUGGGCACUCUAGAGAGACUGCCAGGGAUAACCUGGAGGAAGGUGGGGAUGACGUCAAAUCAUCAUGCCCCUUAUGCUUAGGGCUACACACGUGCUACAAUGGGUAGUACAGAGGGUUGCCAAGCCGUAAGGUGGAGCUAAUCCCUUAAAGCUACUCUCAGUUCGGAUUGUAGGCUGAAACUCGCCUACAUGAAGCUGGAGUUACUAGUAAUCGCAGAUCAGAAUGCUGCGGUGAAUGCGUUCCCGGGUCUUGUACACAC
This 287-nucleotide ribosomal RNA is filed under the name Clostridioides difficile. RNAcentral describes it as "partial 16S ribosomal RNA". It matches the Rfam family "Bacterial small subunit ribosomal RNA", at positions 1102 to 1390 of the family's 1533-position model. The record is from RNAcentral. Lineage: Bacteria; Bacillati; Bacillota; Clostridia; Peptostreptococcales; Peptostreptococcaceae.